UUGAACGCUGGCGGCAGGCCUCACACGUGCAAGUCGAGCGGAUGAAGGGAGCUUGCUCCUGGAUUCAGCGGCGGACGGGUGAGUAAUGCCUAGGAAUCUGCCUGGUAGUGGGGGAUAACGUCCGGAAACGGGCGCUAAUACCGCAUACGUCCUGAGGGAGAAAGUGGGGGAUCUUCGGACCUCACGCUAUCAGAUGAGCCUAGGUCGGAUUAGCUAGUUGGUGGGGUAAAGGCCUACCAAGGCGACGAUCCGUAACUGGUCUGAGAGGAUGAUCAGUCACACUGGAACUGAGACACGGUCCAGACUCCUACGGGAGGCAGCAGUGGGGAAUAUUGGACAAUGGGCGAAAGCCUGAUCCAGCCAUGCCGCGUGUGUGAAGAAGGUCUUCGGAUUGUAAAGCACUUUAAGUUGGGAGGAAGGGCAGUAAGUUAAUACCUUGCUGUUUUGACGUUACCAACAGAAUAAGCACCGGCUAACUUCGUG
RNAcentral lists this ribosomal RNA (483 nucleotides) under uncultured bacterium. RNAcentral's name for it is "partial 16S ribosomal RNA". It matches the Rfam family "Bacterial small subunit ribosomal RNA", at positions 30 to 507 of the family's 1533-position model. The record is from RNAcentral.